GUGCGAGGCGCAGCUACCAUGCAGUCGAGCGGUAACAGAUCCAGCUUGCUGGAUGCUGACGAGCGGCGGACGGGUGAGUAAUGCAUAGGAAUCUGCCCGAUAGUGGGGGAUAACCUGGGGAAACCCAGGCUAAUACCGCAUACGUCCUACGGGAGAAAGGGGGCUUCGGCUCCCGCUAUCGGAUGAGCCUAUGUCGGAUUAGCUAGUUGGUGAGGUAAAGGCUCACCAAGGCAACGAUCCGUAGCUGGUCUGAGAGGAUGAUCAGCCACAUCGGGACUGAGACACGGCCCGAACUCCUACGGGAGGCAGCAGUGGGGAAUAUUGGACAAUGGGGGCAACCCUGAUCCAGCCAUGCCGCGUGUGUGAAGAAGGCCCUCGGGUUGUAAAGCACUUUCAGCGAGGAAGAACGCCUAGCGGUUAAUACCCGCUAGGAAAGACAUCACUCGCAGAAGAAGCACCGGCUAACUCCGUGCCAGCAGCCGCGGUAAUACGGAGGGUGCAAGCGUUAAUCGGAAUUACUGGGCGUAAAGCGCGCGUAGGUGGCUUGAUAAGCCGGUUGUGAAAGCCCCGGGCUCAACCUGGGAACGGCAUCCGGAACUGUCAAGCUAGAGUGCAGGAGAGGAAGGUAGAAUUCCCGGUGUAGCGGUGAAAUGCGUAGAGAUCGGGAGGAAUACCAGUGGCGAAGGCGGCCUUCUGGACUGACACUGACACUGAGGUGCGAAAGCGUGGGUAGCAAACAGGAUUAGAUACCCU
This 753-nucleotide ribosomal RNA is filed under the name Halomonas sp. Its description in RNAcentral is "bacterial SSU rRNA". It matches the Rfam family "Bacterial small subunit ribosomal RNA", at positions 37 to 788 of the family's 1533-position model. The record is from RNAcentral. Lineage: Bacteria; Pseudomonadati; Pseudomonadota; Gammaproteobacteria; Oceanospirillales; Halomonadaceae.